Schistocerca piceifrons (Central American locust) is the source of this 2812-nucleotide long non-coding RNA. RefSeq lists it as uncharacterized. Lineage: Eukaryota; Metazoa; Arthropoda; Insecta; Orthoptera; Acrididae. The transcript is spliced from 5 exons. The record is from RefSeq and is a predicted model, not a curated record.
GGCCACUGUGGCGUUAGGUGAUAGGAAAAAUAUAAAAAGAGGAGUCGUUAUGCUUAGGAAGACACUGGACUGCAACAAUCACAAAACAUGGUAAUCAAAUCCAGUUUAAUAGCACUAAGCACUUAAAACACUUGUGAUGCUGACUUAUUCUUUUCUUUCAAAGAAAUCCUAUUAAGAACGAAAGGUCCUCUAUGUGAUUACGUGACUUGACGGUUGUACGUCUUCUAUUGCAUCGUUGGUAGGCUCAUACAACCAUCCUAAAGUUAUACAGAGGUGAAGAGUUACUUCACUGGAACUGCAAUUUUGCUCAAAUCGGACAUCGGAAGUACUGUGCAUGAAGGUAAGUAUUAUUUUCUCUCAAAGUGACCUCUCCCAUGAACAUUGGAGGCCUCUUAAGAUAUGACCUCUUAAUUUCGUAGCCACACUUGAGUUCUGAAAUUGUAUAGACAGUUCUCAUUUGUUCAUAGAUCAAUAUCUUCAUUUCCAGAUCUAAUACUGUUGAGUUCUUCUUACUGACAUUCAGUGUCAACGUGCUCUUGUUCAUUUGCAAUGAAAACUUCGUAAUGCGGACUUCCGACUCUUCUACUCUAGUAGAGCGGAAAUGGUCAGCAUGACGAAUAUUAUUAUUAUUUUCACUUUAGUACAAGUACACCCCGCUGGCCACUAAAGACCUUAAGUACAAUGAAACUUACCUGCAGUCUUCACCCCAUGUAAUGUAUUGAAAGUAGAUCACACUCUUGCUACAAAAUCCAGAAAGAAAAUCUCAUUCAAACACUACAAAAAUACCAAACGACCAACGAGAGAGCGACACACAAAAUGACGUACAUAUAUAGGUGUAUAUAUCAUCAAACAUUUCUUAAAUGGCCACGAAUUUACCAUUAGGUUUUGUUGGUUCCAGCAACAGACUCAUAAGAAAUUGGAAAAUGUAUACAUCUGUUGACAUUAGGUAAAAACAGAAGUUUUUGUGGUGUUUGUUACACGUUGCUAUCCAAGCCACACUAUGAUACUCGUUAACGCUACUACAGCCAAUUAGGUUACACAUAUCUCUUAUCGUCUUAAUAUCAUCUCUGUUGAAAUUGCAACAUCUUUUCCUUCACCGUUUCUCUUGGAAUCGUUAACUCCUUCACACAGUUGUGUUAAUUGUGGACUCACACAUUCGUAGAAUUUUUUAAAAGACUUCAUAUUCCUAGUGACUGUACAUUUAUUAUAAUAUCCACUAUUGCAGCUUCGACUUUCUGGUCAUUUUCAAGUGGUUACGGGCGCCGAAGAGACGGCAGUAGUCAUCGUUCAUAAAGAGAAUAAAAACGACUUGAACCUCUAUGGCUCGUGUCAGCCUUUGUCGCACACACCAUCGUUAUGUGACAGAUAGAAUAGGAUAAAAACACGUUAAUGCUGACUACUACUGCGUUUUCAGCACCUGUAACCAUUUGAAAAUGACUAAAAGGUCGAAACUGCAAUAAUGAAUAUUGUAACAAACGUAUAGUCUUGGUGAAUAUGAAGUAUUUAAAAAAAAGGGGUAACCUUCUUGUUUUAUCAGUCAGGUGACAUUCUCUCUCUGUUGAGUUACACUCCGUCGAUAGUCUAUCCUUUCGAUCAGGAGUAUCAUUGUGUUAUGUGUCUGUCAUUGUAAUAAGUUUUUUGUUGAUUACAGUAGUACAGCUGUGCCAAUGGAGAUAAGCAUUUAGCAAUCGACUGGAAGGGGGCAGUCCUCAGAGCUAACGAGAUACCACAGCUCACUGUUGGUGAUGCCGCGGCUCCAGUUUGGUUCUUGAGCAGCCGUAACAGGAGCCGCAAACGACGUUCACCUCGCAGAGUCCAAGGAUGUCUCCACUGGACAGUCAUCUGCAUCAUGUAGCAGCCUACCACAACGUGAAUAUGAGGCGGCUGUGGCUGCAGCGGCGACGUCUGAGGAGAAAGUGGCGGACUGAAAGUGCUUUGAGGGCCCGCGGUGAAUGGCGGCGGGUGGCCCGGACGUCGUCAAUGGCAGCUCAGUGUUGGUGUUGAUGCUGACUUGUCAACAACGCCAUCAUUCUCACUUGUAAUGGAGUCAUCUGUUACACAUCUGAACUAAUAUGGACGGAGGUGCAUAGAGGACGUCCGUGCCACUUACAACAGUUCAUUCAUCUAUUGACUGCGACUCAUAAUGGUUGCACUUCCCACAGUGCGUCCACAAAGAUACUGCAAAUCUGACUUCUGGUUGUCGUGAGUGAAGCAUAAUGAUAACGCUUCAAGAAAAGGCUCAGUGUGUGGAAUGGUUCACUUAGAUCAAAUCGGAAGAAUAGAGUCAAAGGGAACUUCCAGGCACGGUAUCGGAAACACCCACCCUCGCAGACGUCGGUACGCAGGUGGUACAGACGUUUUAUGCAAACAGCAAGCGUUGAGUUGAAGCAUAGUGGACGACGUGGAACAAGUGAACCCGAAACAGGAUGGAUACGGUAGGCAUUUCAACGUUCUCCACAGAAGUCUGUUCAGAGUUCAUCGCAGCAGCUGCAAAUCCCUGGAGCGACAGUGCAUCGGGUCCUUCGGCGACGUGUGCGUGUGUAUCCAUGCCGGCUGCAGUUGUUAUAAGUAUUGACACCAGAUUACGAGCCACAACGUAUGCAGUUCGUCGUGGACGUUCUUUACAGUUUAGAGAAGGAUGGAUAUUUUCUAAACAAUCUAGAAUUUUCUGACGAAGAAACAUUUCACUUUUGUGGUACGGUAAACAAACACAAUGUUUGCGUUUGGGGCACAAUCAAUCCUCCGCAUACUGUGACGGAUGAAGUACGUUGCCGCCCGAAAGUGAAUGUGUUGUUUGAUCGCAUUGUGGGAC